UCCCUGGUGGCCCAACAGCUAAGACUCUGCACUCCUGAUGCAGGGAGCCCAGGUUCGAGCCCUGGUCAGGGAA
This is a transfer RNA of Ovis aries (sheep), 73 nucleotides long. It matches the Rfam family "tRNA". Rfam says of the family: Transfer RNA (tRNA) molecules are approximately 80 nucleotides in length. Their secondary structure includes four short double-helical elements and three loops (D, anti-codon, and T loops). Further hydrogen bonds mediate the characteristic L-shaped molecular structure. tRNAs have two regions of fundamental functional importance: the anti-codon, which is responsible for specific mRNA codon recognition, and the 3' end, to which the tRNAs corresponding amino acid is attached (by aminoacyl-tRNA synthetases). tRNAs cope with the degeneracy of the genetic code in two manners: having more than one tRNA (with a specific anti-codon) for a particular amino acid; and 'wobble' base-pairing, i.e. permitting non-standard base-pairing at the 3rd anti-codon position. The record is from Rfam. NCBI's taxonomy places the organism in Eukaryota, Metazoa, Chordata, Mammalia, Artiodactyla, Bovidae.